GAUGAACGCUGGCGGCGUGCCUAAUACAUGCAAGUCGAGCGAACAGACGAGGAGCUUGCUCCUUUGACGUUAGCGGCGGAUGGGUGAGUAACACGUGGAUAACCUACCUAUAAGACUGGGAUGACUUCGGGAAACCGGAGCUAAUACCGGAUAACAUGUUGAACCGCAUGGUUCAACAGUGAAAGACGGUCUUGCUGUCACUUAUAGAUGGAUCCGCGCCGCAUUAGCUAGUUGGUAAGGUAACGGCUUACCAAGGCAACGAUGCGUAGCCGACCUGAGAGGGUGAUCGGCCACACUGGAACUGAGACACGGUCCAGACUCCUACGGGAGGCAGCAGUAGGGAAUCUUCCGCAAUGGGCGAAAGCCUGACGGAGCAACGCCGCGUGAGUGAAGAAGGUCUUCGGAUCGUAAAACUCUGUUAUUAGGGAAGAACAAAUGUGUAAGUAACUAUGCACGUCUUGACGGUACCUAAUCAGAAAGCCACGGCUAACUACGUG
This 497-nucleotide ribosomal RNA is filed under the name uncultured bacterium. RNAcentral describes it as "partial 16S ribosomal RNA". It matches the Rfam family "Bacterial small subunit ribosomal RNA", at positions 28 to 507 of the family's 1533-position model. The record is from RNAcentral.